CCAGCAGCCGCGGUAAUUCCAGCCCCAAUAGCGUAUAUUAAAGUUGUUGCAGUUAAAAAGCUCGUAGUUGAAUUUCGGGGUCAGUAAGUUGGUCGUGCCACUGGUAUGCACUGGCUUUGCUGAUUCCUCCUUCUUGUAGAACCGUAAUGCCAUUAAUUUGGUGUUGCGGGGAAACAGGACUGUUACUUUGAAAAA
RNAcentral lists this ribosomal RNA (195 nucleotides) under Glomeraceae sp. RNAcentral's name for it is "partial small subunit ribosomal RNA". It matches the Rfam family "Eukaryotic small subunit ribosomal RNA", at positions 567 to 764 of the family's 1831-position model. The record is from RNAcentral. Lineage: Eukaryota; Fungi; Glomeromycota; Glomeromycetes; Glomerales; Glomeraceae.